CGGAGGCGGACGCAGGCGGACACGGCGGGUCCUCGGUGUUACGGCGCUCGCUAUUGGGCAGCGGCCUCCCGGCCCGGCUCGGCCCGGCCCGCCACGUCUGCAGCGCCGCGCGGGCAGCCCGGUCGCCCAACGGCCGCGGCGGGCGGGCGCGCGGUGCAUAACGGCCCCCAACGGCCGCGGCGGGCGGGCGCGCGGCGCCUAACGGCCCCCGGCUUUUCGGGGCCCCUGGCGCAGCCCUCCUGAGCGAGGCGCCGAAUGGCAGCGGUGUCGGGGCACGGCCGCGGCGGUUGACCCUGCCGGCCCAGAGAGCUCAUGUCCCGGCUCCGUGCUCAGGAGCCGCUCGCUCGCUGCGAGCAGCCUCGUGGCCGCCCGGUCCUUCCCGAGCACCCAGGGCCGCGGUGGCUCUGCCUCACGCAGCCAGUUCAUAGCCAGACUGCAGUUGCGGAGUGUUCCUCACUCAGGUUUUCCACUCCAGCCCCUUGCCCGCAGCUUUUUACCUACGCUUUUGUUUGAAGGGGAACAAUAAAGCUCAGACUUGCUUUUCCAUUUGGAAGGUGAACUACGGUUGCCACCGAAAACCAGCUCAGUGAUUAUGGAAUUCCACCAAAAAUUGGCCGAUUCCUUUUUGCUGCCUCGUGACACAGUAUGCCAAGUAGACUAGGAGCACCAGAGACAUCAAGGUGAGGCUGUGCUGAGGUGCUGAAUUUUCACCUCGUUCCUGAUCACAUGGUGCUAGAGUGUGCUGCUAGUUAAGAGUUUUCACCACAACAAUGGCCAAGAGCACCUCAAGGAGAUGAGUUGGCAAUGGUUCAUGGUGCAGAGGGAGGGCCAAGAGCAAAGGCAUGCUCUCUGGGGAGUCCCAGAUGGAAUUUCAGGCCACAGUGAAACAGAGAUGGGCCAACAGAGGAAGAGCUAGGCAGCUCUGAGACUCCUUGGAUGGAUGGCUGCAUCGAUCUUCCAGCAGUGCACCACCCUGGAGAAGCACCAUGAGGAAGAAGAGUGCUCCCUGUUCUCUUCUUGGAAGAAGCAGAAAAGCCUGGAGGAUCUUAUUCGAAGGAGAAGUUUCCUGCCUCUGGAUCCCUGACAAACAGUGCCUUCCUGCAGCCCUGAAUUAAACCUUGCCAUCAAAAGGGGCAGACAGGAGAGGACACCCGUCUUCUGCAUUUCUGAUGGGCUACGUCUUAAGCAACAGGCUGUGCAGCCCUGCUCCACACCAGGGUGGUGCUGGAUUCCCUUCCCAGGUUCCUAGCUCUCACCAUGUGCUGCAGACAGAGGCUGCAGGCAUGUGAGAGCAUUCACUGGGGCCAGAAGUCAGAAAUCUAGAAAUCAGGCACGGCAGAUCAUGUGGCUCUCAAGGUGCAGAGCAGCCAAAUUGUUUGAAGAACAAGGUACGUGGAGCAGGGGCACUACAUCAAUAUCGUAGUGUGUGGAAACCAGGAGGAAAUGUAGGGAAUUCUUUGCAGUGCAGUUUAAAAGCAUUUAAAAACUUUCUGUUUUUCUUAUUGCAGAUCUGCUGUGUUCAAACAAUGCUUUUCAGCAGCAAUAUUCAGCCACGCAUUGGGAUUCUGAACAUUAUUUUAUCCGUUGUGUUAUCUGCUUCCUUUUAGUGAAAUUAAAUGAUGCCAUGUUUCACGUACUGUUCCUUCCCAUGACAGCAGCUACAGGGCUCAGGAAACUGCUUGGAGCAGCAUGGGCCAUCUCCAGCAAACGCUCCCAUCUGGAGAGGCACUUGGGAGGCUGCAGAGGAAGCAGGUGUGCAGCUGCCAACCCCACCAAUCCCCACAGGGAAAACUGUGCAGUCCCCAGCAAAAGGAACCUCCUGGCAUGUUCUCCCAUCUCUGGAGGUCUGCCUGGCCUUUUGCUGACAGCGUAAUUUCCUUAGGAAUCUCAGAGGCUGACAUCUCUGUUCAUGACCCCUUUUCCUAAGUGACAUUAAUGUUUGCUGCAGGUAUGCCAGGUGCAACGUCCGCUCAUUGCGUCUGCAUCAUCGGGCCUUAUCCUAACACCUCUCUAGAAUCUGAAUUUCUACCUGGGCAAUGAACAGACCUCCAUUUCUCCAGCAAGGAGUAUGCUGCUCUUAGCCAACAUCUGCCUAUCAAGAAGAAACAUAUAUUUAGGAAAUUUGCCUAAGCUGGCACAGACCUGAUAAAACUUGUCAGUAGGUCUGAUGGAACUGAAUAGCAUAAUAGUCUGAAUUAUGGCUGGUGUCACAGGCACAUCCGAAGCACCUUUGUAAGGAGGAGACAUCACCUUGAAAAGCCGGAAAUAGUUGUCAUCCACCUGUAUGCCAUGGCCAUCCUUGCUGAGGUGAUGGAAAGCAGCAUGGUGGGAAUGUGCACUGAUCAGACACUGAGCCAGGCAGAGGGUAAGUCUGAGCUGAUGAAUUACUGCGUGGGUGAGUUUCCCAUCCCUUGCAAGCUGAUGAAAUAUGAUUAACCUGGCACUGGUUAUUCAUUCCCAUUUGUUUUUCAGAGGUAAAUGAAAUUUUGAGAACAUGCUUUCUAAAUGUAAAAAAAGAAAUCUCCUUGUGAUCUCUACCACAUCUAGCCACCUAAUUAAAUAGCCAGUUGAAAUAUGAAUAGUAUAUUAAUAUUGCAGCUAAUAAGUACUAGAUUUAUCCCUUGGCUGGUUCUCUCUACCAGCAAGUGCUGUGAAACUUCUGAAAUCCCAUGUUGUUCUUGAAAUCCCAUGUUAGGAGAAGCUACUGAAUCUUAGGUCAGGUAGAGAGAGAAAUUUCAAACUUAAUAAACCUUGGAAUUUUUUUCCCAAGAUUUGAAAUUCUCAUCACUUCCGUUUAAAUGAGCUAUUAUAGGUUGUCUGGAGUGUGGAAAUAGCAGUUCUUUUAAGACUGAAAGGAAUCAACCUCCUUCUCACCCCAGCUUUGCUGGGAAGUGGAAUUAGACCCGAACUAUAGCUCUUAAUCUUUCUUUGUUUUUUUGUGGAACCAAUAUGGUGUUGUAACAGAAUUAAGAUUCAGUAGCAAAGCAAGAGAGAGGGAGAACCUUUAUACAUACAACCAUACCAUAGCAACUGGGUCUUUCUCUUUUAAUCCUGUUGCAAUUGCUACACAAAUUCCCAAGGUAGAAAUAAAUAUUUUAUGCCACAUCAAAGCUUGGCUUGACACAUUUUCAGAACUGUAUAAAACUGGUUCUAGGUCUAACAUGUCUCUAGCUGAAAGCCUCUGAAAUCAGGUUGGAACUAAAGGAAAUUGCUUGUAAUGCACCCUAUACUGAUCACUAGAUUCUCAGACCAAAUAAAAUUUAAAGCUAUGUUCUAGAAAAGCCAAGGUGUUUUGACUAUAUUAACAAUCCUGAGAUCAGAAAGCAGAUAGACCCAUUUUAAAGGUGAGUUCUUAGAGGAAUCUUAGCAAAAAAACAGGUGGAAAUGAUUGACUUCCAAACAUCAAGCGGUUUUAUCCAUGUAAGAAGAUGGUCCAUAGUUCUUGCCAGAUGUGAUAAAUUGCUCAGUGUUACAUAAACCAAUGCAGUUUUUGUGAUCUACACCAAUGAAGAUCUCCUCUGCCUUGCUAGAUGAGCUACCUAUCUGUACUACCUAAAUCAAGCUGUAAGCCUUUGACCGUGAAAUGUAGUGGGAAAGUCGGCAGGAACAGGUUCCUGCCUGAGAUUUCUAGUGCUUUCAGACAUUUUUUGGAAAUAUUUUUAGGAGGAAAACUUUUCAAACAGUAAAGAUAAAACUUAUCUGAGGUGUCAAACCUCUUUUAGGUUUGCAUCAUGUGUUGAGUCAAGGUUCAGGUAAUUCCGUGGGUUUAAACUCAGCUUCAAAUCCAGCUGUUUGGGCAGGGAGAGUUGCCAGCCUUGUAGCCCUGCGUGCUUGCUGCUGCUGUCCCAAACUCCCACAGAAGUGGGCAAAAGGACUUUGAGGUCUCUCCCGAUGUGUAUAGACUGUAGAAGGUGGCAUUAUCUCCUCAUUGGAACGUCUGUCUUGUGGCAUUCAGUUUAGAGUUAAAGAAGUCCUCAAUCUGUAUUACUGAAGCGUGAAGCCCCCUUGCAAGGUAACAGUAGUGAGUGCCGGUAGGUGGCAUUGUGUUGCUUUUGUUUUCUGAAACUCAUCCCUGUAUUUCCUCUUUCAUUGGUGGAGGAAGUGGUUGAGCACAAAUACUAGUCAACAUAUCUCUCUUUAUUAUUGUUAUUAUUUUGGCAGAAACUGGUCUGUAUUUCACUCCCAUCUGGGUGUGGAGAUGACAGCCCGAUGAUUUGUACUCUGAAACUGAACCAAACCCUUUGAUAAAUGCUAAAGCUAUGGGGAAGGACUUCCCCAGUGGGUCAGACGUUUUGGAGCAGCUCAACUCAGAUGAAUGUAUUGGCCAAGAAGGGCAAAGUUCCCUAAUGAGUUUCCCUCCUAAAGUUUUCCAGAAGAAACAGAGCAGAUAAUUAAGAAAAGACCUUAGUCUUUGAGGUUGUCACUGAGCAAGCAGGGGAGGAGAGCAAAAUCACCAAACUUUUUUUUCUCCAGAACUAGUGCAUAACUGUUCCCACGCUCAAGACAUACCUUUCCAUCUGGUCUCACGUUUUUUCUAAGGGCGGAUUCUUUCUUCUCUAAUUAUUUUUUCACAAAUCAGACGAAGUCAUUACACAGUCAGAGGGCAUUAAUCAUCUUAUGUAAUGUCACAGUAGUGAAAAGUAAAGGCAACACACACAAAAAUGGAAGAAGUAGUAAAGGAAAUAUGAGAUGACAAUGUGUGUGUGGCAAGAACUGCAAGGCAGAGAAAUUGCUAUGGAUUUGGGAACCACUUCUUCUGGUGUUUCAUAGAAGUAUAAGGGAAGCCAUCUCACCUUGACACCAUUUGAAGCAUCUGAGAAUCAAUCCAAUAGCUGGCAGAAUAACCAUUUACCUAUAACUAUGAAGUAAUUGCUUUGUAGGUAUAGAUUUGAGAGGUAACUGAAGCACCAAAGACUAGUAAAUAUCAUUCUAAAAAUAAAUGGAUGAUCAAGCACAUGCUUCAUGGCCUGUUCUUCCAGCCAAUGGCAGUUAUGACUGCACUGGAACAUAAAAAUAGCCAUAAGGGCUCAGAACAAGGUACGUCUGCCUCAGCAUCCUGUCCAGCAGUGGUCAUAGCAAGUGCCUAGGGUAGAGUAAGAACAGGGUAUGCAUAUAUGGUAUUUCCAUAUGAUAUCUCUGUCCUAGACUCAAACUAGUUUUGUUCAAGAGCUUCCCUGAGUCUGAUACUUCCUGUGUGUUUAAUAGACCUCAACAGAUCUCUUUCAAGUGUUUGUCCAGUCUCCCCUUAAAUCCAUAUAAAUUUUCUAAAUCCACAACAUCUGUUGGCAAGGAGAUCCACAGGUCGAGGAACAGAUGACAAGAUUCUGCCUCUUGCUUCCAUAUGAAAAAAAUUGAAAACACUUCUGGAGACAUACUGUGAUCAGCUGUCUGGGACCUUCUCUGAUGAUUUCUGAAUGAAGACUACCAUUAACAGUUUAAAUAAAAUGGUUAGCUCUUAACUGUCAGGCAAUAUUGCAAAUAUCACUGUUCUUCAUUUCAUUCCAUUUCAUAUCACCAAAUACACCUCUGUAGGUUUCACCAUGGUCUUGAAUGAGAAAUGUCAGUGGAUUCCAGACAUGUUAGUAGCUCGCUAAAUAUUAGUAGCAUUAUUAUAAAACACUCAGAUUACCAGCUGGUCUAGAGUUAUGCAUUUUAUAUGUAGCUCACUCGCUUUUGGAAUUGCCUGUCAUUUGAACACACAGCUAUGAUGCUUAUAUGUGUAUAUAAAAGGGAAGCUUGUUUUGGCUUUUAUAAUCUGCAUUCCUUUUCUUCCUAGUGUAGCAUAUGAGGAACUCAUACCUUGUCUCUGUAGUAAUGGACUCUUCACAAAAUUCAGAGCUGGAACUGAUCCUCAACCAGUCUGUGGUUGUCAUGAUGCAUGUUUUUUGUGUAGGUCAUUAUCCUUAGACAGGAUUUCAGCAGGUCACUGUUAAUACCAUUAAGUAUGCGUAACUCAAUACCCAGUGACUCCCAAGCUCUUCAGACCACUGAACUACUGUCAGCCUUUGAUACAGCUUGCAGACUGCCCAUCGCCACAGAGAGCCUGGGCAUGAGGUGACAUGGCAGAGACAUGAAGGGUUUCAGUGAAGACGCAGGUCAUACUAAACUGACAGCUUCGAAUAUGUUGCUAGUAUGUUCCUGCAUCGUGUGAGGAUUACUUAUUAGGACCUCAAGGAUGAAAAGUGAUCGAUCAACCACAGUUUGGAAACUACAGGAAUUUACAAAAAUCCCAAGAGUCGUUGUUAGAAACCAGCUCCACUGUUUCCCAGCAGUGGUGUGCUCCUGGUCAUGCCUUCAGCAGGCAAUACACAGCAAUAAUUCUUUCUCAGCAAAUGGGAUGAAGUUAGCGCUGUUCAACUGCAGACAGCAGCAUGUGGCUCCUGUAACCCAAUUAUCUGAAAAUAUGUUCUGUGCAUUGCUAAUAAGAGAGGGAAAUACUGUCGUUAGCCCCUGAGUUCAGCUCCCUAGCUAGGAAUAUUUUAGAAUGUGCAGAAAAAUGUGAUGGUGCCUCCUGCUAAUGCAUGGAAAUACAAUUAUUGAGUUGGAUGUCUGUGAAACAGGAAUAAAGUUAGAUCUGGUCCAGAGGCUAGAACAAUGUAUAUAUUAAACACUUUAGAUGCUGCUACAAAAUAUAUCUAUAUAUCUAUAUCUAUAAAAUUAAUUAUAGAUUUACCUGCCUUGCUUCUGAUUUAAGGAGCAUUACGCAGUGAUUGAGGAGUAGGAUUAUGACUCUUUUAUCAAGACACGAAUAGUCUGAUUAUUGACUUGUGAUUGUGUUAGAAUAUUCCUGCUUAUUAAAAUUAAUACUGGUUUAUAAAACUUUCUGCUGCAGCUGGGUAUUCAUAACAUUUGAUUCUGGAAUGCUAUCAACAGCUCUUCCAUUGCUACAUUAUCUGGUGCCUCAAUUAAAACAGUACAAAUGCACCAAAGAGUGUGAAGCUUUACUCUUUCUCUGCUCUUUCUGGAGUUGCUGUGAAAUAAUUCCUAAUGUUAAAGAGAAAACAUAACAUACUAAACCACACGCCUUUAGGAACAGUAUGAUAUGUUGUCAGAUAUAAGAAAGAGAGAAAGAAUUUUUUGAAAACUUUGUGAAUGGGUUAAUGCUGUUGCCAGGAAAAGAUUUGCCCUUUUACAGAUCUGAAGGGAGGUAAUGUUGACAGAAGGUGGUAGAGGCCUAGUAAAAAUUUAAGCUUUUGUCUGACUUUUACUUCUGGGAAAGAAAGGGCACUGACAACAACAGCUGCCUGUAGCACCACCUCUUCUCCUUUUUUUUUUUUUUUUUUUUUUUUACACUUGACUUCUAAUAUGGAUUCCAGGCAUGAUUCAGCACACAGAGGGAAGAAGAUUUUACAGGCAUGGACUGGCAUAGUAUUAGGAAAAACAUGCAAAAAGAAACCUGGAAUAAAAUAAGAAGCUUCCUUUAUAUGAUGCGUGUAAAAUAUGGAUCUAAACAAACAUGCAUAAACCUUAAUUUACAAGAGUUUUAUAGGGCUCUUUCUUUAACUGCAGAGAGUCGUUCACUGGGAAGGCAGAAGCUGUGUAAGAGGCUCUGGAGGCCAACUAGAGGAGGUCCCAAACUCACCUCUAGGCUCAAAAUGAAAAUGGAAGUACUAACGUGCAUUAUUUAGACAUUCAUUUUAUUGUUAUUUGAGUACAUGGCCAAUCAGAUAGAGAAUGAUUUUGUGAUCCAGAAAAGCCAGAAAUGGCUUUGACAGAUGUGGUACUUUUUGCCUUUCUUUUUAGGUAAGUGCUAUCUUUCCAAAUCUUGUCCUACAUUUUUAAGCUUGAGGAACAGAUUUUUAAAGACAACACUAGAAGAACUCAGGUGCUCUUCCAGUCUAUCCUUAUGCCCCAAGACAAGACCAGCUCCUUCUAAAUCAUAUCUACCAUAUUAAAACACACACACACACACAUAUAUAUAUAUACACACACACUAUUUGAACUAAGUAGGCAACUAUGAGGAGUCAGGGGCCUACCGCAUGUUGUUAAGUUGAAGGCACACUGAGCACACAUAGAUGCAAGGACGGGAAAUGAAAAGCUAUUUUGAAAGGCGUGAUUCCUAUCCUCACUUCUGAUGGUGAUAGAUAUUUGAUCAGUGUAGAAGUGACAGAUUUUUUUCAGAUGGUUCUGAGAUUUGGUGGUCACUGUAUUUUGGCAUGUGAUUAGAACAGCUUAGGUUUGGAUAUUGUUGAAAUCUAAUGGACAGUGGAUAAUCUUCAGCAACUUAAGUGAGAAUUAAAAUGAAGAAUGUCUCUUUUGGUUGAAAUGGUAGCACCAUGUUCCAUGUUACUGGUAAAAAAUAUUUAUGCAGCUGAUGAGAGCAAGACUGUGUUCACAAUAACAAUAUAAAGAAGCCUGCAAAUUAUAGAUGACAGCACAGACCUUCAUAAAACAUUAUUUUCUUUUUAUAAGUUGAAAUACCCAAAAGCUUGUGUCCAUACCUGCUCUUUUGUAAUCAAAGACUGUUCUCCUCUACUCCUGCACCCCCCCCUCCCCCCCCCAGAAAAAAAAGAUUAAUUUCAAAGGAGACGGUCAGGCCAAAUAUUUUUCAGUACCAUGUGUAUCUUCUGAUUGUUCAGGAGAUCUCAACUAUAUGAUUUUUGUUGGUCCUGGAGCUGGCAAAGAAGCAGCAGGGGAGGGACUGACAGAGACUAGAGAGUGCUGGUGGUGUGCAUAGAAAUGUGAAGGUAGCUACCAUUUCUACAUUGAAGUUUUAAUAAAGCUUUCAUUUUCUCUUAUCAGAAAUGGAGACUCAUCCCUUGUGAGCCUUGUGUUAAUUGUGCUGUUUAUGAUAAUAACUUUCUUGAUUAUUUUGGAUGAUUUGAGUUCUGAGACUUUUCUCAUAUAUACGUGAGUGCAUGUGCAUGUUUUAAGAUACAAAAAUUGCUCUGGUGUAUUCCUGUUAAAUUGCAUGGUAAUAACUAUAACAAUAUCCCACAUAAAUUAUGGCUGUGCAGAUUUACAUACUUGUCCUUGCCUCAGCUAAUUAUAUUUCACCCCCAUUCACUUUUUUCAUGCUGUCACUUCAAAUGUGUAUUUUUUCGUUCUCUAACUCUGCAGUAGCUAUAGUACGUUCCCUGAUAGCAGAGAGGGUUAAAGUGGGGAAACUUGCUGAACCAAAUGAACUGAAGUGAAAGACAUUUUAGUCUCUUGACAUACAAUCCUCAGUAAUUGUAUGGAAAGCACUUAUUUUUUCAAGAAUGCCCAAAACGAGGCACAUUUGGGGAUACAUUCUGUACAGAGGCAAUCCAGCACAAGUUAGAUGCUCUACUAACACAAGCUUGCUUUGCAGUGCCUGGCCUCCAGUGUGAAAUCCGGCAUGAGGCCCAGGCGCUCUAGGCCAUGCAUGGGGAGACAUGGGCUGCCCGAAAGGGCCAACUCUAAAACCUGCCUUAGCCCUGGUGAGGUCCUGGCAUUAACCAGCUGGAACCACAAGGAGUGGGAUUGUGUCUAGACUUCUGCCAUUCCUCUAGAGUUUAGCUGCCUAAACCUGCAGGCUUAAAAUGCAUAUGCCCUGUAUUGAAGACCCUUGGUAUGAGAGUACUUGCCCAGGAAGCGGCUGCCGGGAAUUCAAGUUCCUUCUCGGUCUGAAGAGAUCCGAAGCCUUACUCCAAAAGUGUGAGUACUUCUGUUCACUGCCUAGAUUUCUGCCACUUUUCCUUUUCUGAAGCUGUCUAAUAUAUCCCAUUUUGCCUUGCAUAUAUACUUCUCUCAACAAUAAUGAUAAAAAAUUAAAACUCCUCACAUGGGAGGAGGAUUUCCUGUCAAAACACUUCUCAGCUUGCUUGAUAAAUAAUGAGGUAUUUCAGUCAGAUUUAAAAAGUGCAAACUCCAAAAAUGUUAAUGGUUAUCCUGGUGACAUUGUUACUGUAUUAACCUUUCUAUUUCUCUCUCUGUCUUCUUAUACUGUCACAUACUAUCAGAGCAGCUAAGCGUCUCACGCGUAACAUCAAUAGCAGACGUAGAAUCUCUACAGGGGUUCAUAGUCUUUGGCAAUACUCCCUUUCCACUGGUAAAAAUUUUGCUUGCAUCAAGAAUUUUCUUUGUUUGAUUUUGAAGAGCGGAGGGAGAAGGUGUUUAAGAAUAAACGCCAUCCUUGAAUUGUGUGAGCUGCGCUUGUGAUGAAAAGACUCCUUCAAACCUGCCGGCAUCAUCUCUGCAGGGCAGCUGCACCCAGGAUCUGCCCCACCUCGGUGAGUGAGGAUUCAGUCUCCCACGCGAGCAACACCUGGCACUUGCCUCCUGAGCCAGCUGCAGCCGAGAAGCUGGGAGCCCCCGGCCGCCAUUGGGCCUGGCAGUGCUCAACUCCCCGCACACCAGGACAGCCACCGCAGUGAGCCUGCCUCCGCUCCGGCGGGUGCUGCUGUCCUGUCACCAUCACUGCGUGCGGUGGGGCUGCACUGUGGGAAAGUGUUUAACCCCCCUUCUGAACCACUAACUGCAUUGGGUUUCUGCACCAUCCUGUGAAAUGAGUUCUUCAGUUAAAUUAUGCUUUUUUUUUUUGUUUCUAAACCCCUCUCAUUUGGCUGUUGAAGUACUUCAUUUCUUAAUUCACCUCUCCACAACUUUCUGCCCUGUUCUUCGCCUCAAGAGUCUCUUUUUCAGGCUAAAUAGAUGCUAUUUACUUUCUCCUCCAAUGGAAACUCUUCCACACUUUGGAUUAUUCUCAUCUCACUUAUCUGAAUCCUAUCAGCGUCCCUUUUUUAAAUGGAGAGACCAGGAGUGCAUGAAUUACUUAAGGUAUGGGUGCACCAAGGUAUAACCAAUGACAUAAUGUUUUCUGUUUCUGGCCUGUUUUUUUCAUUUUUCCAUGCCCAGGGAAACUGAUGAACCCCCCCUUCACAAUGUCGCCAAUGUCAUUGUAGACUUUUCUUUUUUAGUGUCAUCCGUGUUGGAUUUUAGAAAGGAAGAAGUAUUUUUAGCCACACAUGAAGCAUAAAAGCAGGUGCUGCAUCUUUCAGUUUCACAAUUUAACCCAAAUGGCUUUCUGUGUCAUUAGCUUCAUGCAGUCCUGCUGAAAAGAACUAUAAACUAGAAUCUAGGCUAGUUUCUUCCACAUAAAAUUUCCAGCAGCAGCAUAUGUGCUUGUUGUGUAGCUGGGGCUGAUCCAAACUGUAAUGAAGUGUGCUGCGCAGGGUCAUGCCCGUCGUCACCCUGCAACGCUGCACUCACGGGAAGGGCUAUCCAAGGGCUCCCCCCGCUGCCGCCGUGCACUGGCCACCCUAAAGGUAAGGACGCGCUGGAGCCGCAGCCCUUGAGGGGCCUCUGCUCCUCACGGCGGGUGCCCAGCACUUCAGCCCGGCAGGCCUCCUCCUGAUGCUCGCGUGCGUUUGCUGUCAGCGGUGGGUCUCAGGGUGCUGGCUAAUUGCAGCCGGCGGACCACAUGCUGUUGGCAGACAUCCGUGGGGGAGGAUCCUGGCUCUGCGGCGAUACCCUGAUGUCAUUGCAAAGGGGGAGCUGUCUGGCUCCCAUUUAGCAAACCAGACAUUGCUGGGCAGGCCCAUUGGUUCAGCAGGUCCAGGCUAACGAAUUUGGUGCCAGAGUAAUUUAGUUUCCACCCCCCGCGCUAUCAUGAAUGUUCUUCUGAGAGUCCCAUGCAGAGUUCAUGCUCAAGUUGUUUGUGGUGAUGAUUUCCGUUAAGACGUGAGCUGACACCAGCAUCCAUUUCACAUGCAGUUGCUCUUAACUGUAUCCCUUAUUCAAGCUGCCCAUCCUUGUGCCAGCUUGCACAGAAUCAGCUCAACUGUAGACAUAAUUUGCAGUAGUGAUCCUGAUCUGGGAAAACUCAAAUUUUGGAAAUCCCAGCUAAAAGACAGCUGAUUCUCCAGAAAUUGCAGGCUAUCCACCCCUAGAAACCAAGUGUUAUAAUUAGCUGUGUUGACUUAGAGUGAUCUUGUGGCUGCCCUUAAUUAUGGUGGGGGGCAGCUGCUCCUCUGGCUGGGAAAGCAGCUACUGGUGUUUGCUCUUUUAUUGCUAGUCUUAGACCAAGCAUAUUUCAGCCAGAUCAGAAAAUCAAAGACAUCAGUUUCCGCAGCUGAUUGACGGGGUUUGUUUUUGCAGUAAGUGUAGUAAUAAUGGGAGAAUAUUUCUGUGGUACAUCAGGAUACUUUGCAAGCAGUUGCCUCUCAUUGAUUUCCUUGCUUCUUCACUAACUUCCACAAAAAAAGCGUAGCCUGUACUGACACUAUGAGGUUUGAACUUGAGAUCAUUUACAAUAGCAGUGUUCAUUCACCAUUAUUUUGCUGAAGCAAUGUAAAAAGACAAGCCUUAAUUUGUGAAAUGGGCCAUCUGUUUCUGUACAAACUGCAUAAUAGAAUGCACAACUAUUUCAAUUAAUAUAGUAAACCGUCUUUAAGCAAUAGGCAUGAUUUUGUGUGUAUUUUUGACUGCAGAAGAUGUCAUCAUCCUUUGCUCUAAUUAUUCUUGAUUUUACCUCCUCAUAUCUUUAUUUAAAGAAGAAGAAUGACAACUUGUCUCACUGGGAGCAAAGUUUUCUCAUAGAUGGAUCAGGAAUAAUUAGACCAAAUGGUACUGCAAACUCCAGCAGACAGGAUAUCUCCAUUACAGAGAGUUAUGUUGUCAUUUCUUUGACCAUCCUCCCAUCAAUCCAUCCAUCAACAAAUUAAAGUUGGCUAAAGAGCCACUUAUCUUGAGUGCUUUUUACCCCAAUCGCUGUCAAUCUAGGUAAAUAAACAUUUUCCCUAGGCAGAGUUUACAUAUUUAACCAUGUUGCUGGAGACAGUCCCCUUGCUACUGAUACACCCAGCAAAUUGCAUGUGCAUUUACUGUAUUUCCUGAUUCACCUCACCCACACGUUACACCUCCAUCGAAUGAGCCCUACUCCCUCUGUCUCCAUUUGGUUUGUCUUUAAAGAUGGGAUGGUGGGAUGAAGUUGCAUUAAAACUUGCAACCUGAAAAAAAGUCUAGAAAUGGAUUUAUUCUCUUAGAUUGAAAAAAAGUCUGUUGCACCAUGUAAGAUACACAUCAAUAAUGGAUCAAGUAUAUGGAUGAAAUCACCCAAAACAAAAAGCAGCGCUUUCUCAGCAAGCCUGCUUUGAGGAAUAUGGCAAUCCUACUGCGUCUGACUUUCAUAAUUUAAACCAUGAUAUCAUAAAUGACUUUAGGGCUUCGUGAUGAAUAUAAACAAUGAUAUGAGCAACAUUAUAUUUGAUAUCUAAUAAAUAUGUAUGUGCCAGUGAAUACAGUGAUAAAGAUACUACUUUCUCCCUAUUAUUUAUUUUUCACUUAAUUGAUACAUAGAGCAGUUCACACUGCCUGCUGCCCAUCAGAAACACGCAAAGGAAGAGAGUUCUUAGUUAUUAGUAUUAAUGUAUGCCUAGUGCUUUUCAAAAGACACUCACGCACAUAUGUGCACACAGAAGGGGUGAGAUUCCCUUCCUACUGAAGUCAAUAGGCUACUUAUCAUUGCUGUCAAUAAUGAGGAUGGCUGUUCCCAAAUCUAACUAAAUCAUAAUAUGACUCAAAACAAGUGCUGUGGGCAAAGCUCAGGGAAGCAUUAGAGAAGCAUUAGAGGAAUAAUAAAAUGAUAUUUCCUGCUGAUCAUUAACAACUUCUCUUUCUCACACAAAUACCUUGCAAAUGUGACAGCUAGUUGGAACGGUUCGAGGCCUGAGACACUGAGUUUUCAGAUUGCUGCUGGAUGAUCAGGACUAGAGCAACGAAAGUGCUGAUGUGCUCUGCACCCCGUGGCGCCCAGCUGGUUUGCUGAGCACACCUCUCCAGGCACAGCAGUCAAGUCUGCCCUGCGAUGCCAGGGAAUCAGGCCGGUAGGAACAGGAGCUGCGAGCGCUGUGCCACCCAUGUGGGAAUGCCCUCAGCAUCGGGUGAACGUCUGCGUGUGGGAGUGUCUUCACCUCUAAGCACAUACAGGAUGUGAGAGGAAAAACCCUUUUCACACCAGCUACGACCUGUGAGGACGUUUUCUUGGAGAGGCUGAACAUAUCCUGCUCAGAGUAACAGCAACAACUGGAAAGAACGACCAGUAGUUUUAUAAGGUCGUGGAUGAUCUGCUUCGUAUCAGAUGAGCACUGAGUCAUCUUCCUGUAGUGGUGAAGUGGUGACAAUUCUUUGGAGUUCAGGGGAGCUCGGCUUUCCCAGCAUCAGUGCAGGCUCUGAAACCCGUCUCAUAAAAUAAAGCCUGGCACAUUGCCUGACCCGGGGGUGGGUGCCAGUUCCUCUGCAGCCCACGUACACCCUGCGCAGCACAGAGGCCGACGCGUGGCCACCUCCACCCUCCCACAAGAGCAGUGAGGAUCUCCUGCAGCUCCUGUCCCAUUUUUUCCCAUGAUCCUGAAUCAGAGGCUCAGGUAAGGGUGGCUUGGAACACCAUGUGCUCCUGUUGUCUGUUUUUAAUGGGUGCACAGUCUUUCCCGGGUGAUGGGAACUGGGACAUACAGAGAAGCAAGUCCUCUUUGUCCAGCUGAUGUGAUGGACCCGCAGCCAGCUGGAGCAUGAAGGAGCCGCAAGCAGCACCUGAGCAGCCCUCCUCUUGGGGCCAGCUGCAGGCAGAGGGCAAACAAGCUGUUACCCAGGGAGGCAGGCUGGUGGAGGCAGCAAAACCAUGGCUGGGACAGGAGGAAGCACGCCCCAGGGUAGAGAAGCAGCUGCUACUCCCAGCCUGGCUUCCCAGGCACGCAGUGCCACCGGCCCAGGCCCACGGCCCUGUGGUUUCCUGGCCUCCCUCCUGGCCACGGGGGCUCUGGCUCACUGCCGGCACCCUGCCUCACUCUGCCUUGCCCAGAUAGCUCUGCGUCGCCUUGUGUCCCCAGCAAGGUCGCAACACAAGGGGCUUUCGGACACCCCUCCCCACUGGGUGCUCCUCUAGCAGUUGGCCCCACUUGCGAGGGUGGCCGGGCAGAGGCGGGUGGCUCUGCAGCUCGGCCGAGGGAAGGUGAAUGCAGGGCAGCACGUCUUGCUGCAACACUCCGCCUCUCUGAGCCCAUCGUCCAGUGCGACCUCGCUGCUAGCUCCUGCCAGAUGCCAUCCAUGCACGGCUGCCACGAACCCAUCCUGCUCGUUACUGACUUCGUAACCUGCUCUCAGCGAUAAUGCUGGAGAAGAGAGGGUGGCAACAGCAGGAGGGAGAAAGGAGAAGGAAAAAAGGGCAGGAAGAAAGAGCUUGAAGAGAGAGAUGUGAGGAGGCAUCUCGGACACCACAAUUCCUCUGGCCCUUUUUUUUUCACAGAUAUCAGCCAGUUUCUCAUGCACACACACAUGCACAGGGUUCCUCGAUCCACUGCAUAAAAUAAUAGUGCAACAUUUACUUGGGAAUUUUUGCUUAUUUUUAGUCCAGAAAGGGGCUGAACAUGUUCUGAACAAAAAAAGAUUAAAACAUAGUUUUACAUAACAUUAAACUUAAUAAAUUGUCCAUUGAGAUGGGUCCUCUGCUGGUUAUCCCAGUGGUGCCUGCCUGACCUGGACAGUCACUGGUAUUAUUACUGAGCAUUAGUAAGAGGGUUUUUUGCACAUUAUUCUUUACUGACACCAGCAAGUAAAUCUAUACAACCAACCUUCAAAGUGGUAAGUAAGUAACAUGCCCAUUUUAGAGGCGGAGGGGCUGAAGUGAGCCUGGUUCAAAUCACCCAGCUAGGAGUGAGCGGAGAGUUGAGGCAGGCUGGUGCAUGCUCUGUACGCCAGCCAGGCAGCACUGCUUUUCUUGUUGUAUUAAAGAUAAGGAGAAAAUAUCCCCAACUAAGCACACUAAUGUCCAGAUCUUCCAGGUGGGCAUCACUGGCAUGUCGAAAUUGCAACUAUGGUUGUGUUUUUAGAGCAGUCAAUGCGCUACUACCACAUCCUCGUUGAUGGGUAGCCUGGAGUCCUUUCCCUGGUGGCCUUGGAGCACAGCUCCUAAACUGACCAUGUAGGUCCCGCACCGGAUGGACUGGACAGAGGCUGCAGCUAAGCAGUGUUGAAGGGAAGCACCUUCACGAAAUAUAGUCAUUUAGAGAAAGCAUGAAAAAGGUAUCACGCUAGUAGGCAUUACCAGUGGGGAAGGCUAAUGAGUUAUCUAAACAGCUGAUGGGGUUUAAGUGAGGUAGGUCCCAGACUGAUGGUGGUAGCUACCGUCAGUGUGACACGUGGUCAGAAAUACCUGUGCUACACUGUGCAGUGCAGAGUGAUGAAACCCAGGACAGCUCCACACGAACGAGAAGGGUCAAAGUGCAGAGGAGUUGUAUUAGCCCACACCUCCACCUGGACUGAUUUAUGGUAAGCUCCUCAGCAUUUAGUUCCAGGGUAGUUUAAAUAGUUUCCUGCUUAGGUGAUUGGCUCUGAAAAUCCCUUUCUUAAGCACUUAACUACAGAUUGGCUUUUUGGCACAGGCCAGCCUAAUUUGGGUUGCACGUUCCCAAAGGCGAUGGCUCACGGAGGGUUAGGGGUUGCUCUGCUCUGUUGCAUGGUGCCUUCAAAAAUACCUUCCAUGUCACUAAUUUCUGGCUGCUUCAAGACCAGGGCCAGCAGCUGCACUACCUUGUCUGCAGCUAGUGCAAGCACUGCUGCACGGGGCUGCAGCGCAGAGAGCGCCGCAGAGCAACCGCACAUACCGGAGCGUGGAUCGCCGGAGGGAAAGAGGCCCUUCCUCUGCGCUGUCUCCCCAAAGGGUUGCUGCUGAAUUAUACUUCCCCAAUGCUUUAUUGGCUCUGUUGCUUUUUUCCAUUUCGCUUUGUUUUUCAACUCAUCCAGCUUUCUAUGACGCACUUACAAUAUAUGGCUUUGCUUUGUCAUUUUAAUUUUUUUUUUUUUACCCUAUAAGCCUACUCUAGCCGGACCUUUGCAAAGGAGCUAAACAGUAUAGUCAACAAGCUUUUCAUUUAUCUACUUGGGAGUCAUUUGGUCAAGUAAAGCUGCUGUACGUAAACGUUGCAUUCAGCGCCUAACAAUUGGAGUGAAGUUUUUAUGCACAGUGCUUUUUAUUUUCCAAUCAGCAGCACUGAGUUGGGACUUUUGGGGUAAACUGGUAGCUCUGGGCAGCUUUGAAGCAUCACAAGUGGAGGUUUUUGUCUCCAGAAGAUUUACUAGCAGUGAUCUUUUAUUCAACCGUUUUAUUAGCCUCCUUUUACAUAUGUAUGGCAGUGAGGGGGAAAAACCUGUUGUUGGUGAAGUACAGAGUCUAUUUCCCCUGUGGUAUUCACACAAAAAAAUUGUGUGAAAAAUUGUUGCCCAGGGCCUCCCCAAAUACUGAAAUUUAGCUUAGUGUCAUGAGGUUUUCAAACACUUCAAGGCUUCUCCGCCCCCGCCCCCACCUUUUAAAGGUUGAAGCCGGGGUAACAAAUUCAGCUGCGGGAAUGGACGGCCUGCCGUUGGCCCGGCCAGCGGCUGCUGGAAUAAAUCUAUAUGCCCCCUGACGGACCUGCUGAAAAGUUUUCACCCGCUUAACACGGGUUUUAUAAUUUUACUUGAGAGUUCUUGUUGAAUUGAGCCCUGUUGCGUGGACAAAUUGGACAAGAAAAGUUUAAAUGUUACCACUUUGGCUCCCCCUCAAGUGGUGCUGAGCACAGAUGUUUGCCGGGGCCGCGGUGUCCCGGCAAGAAUGGGGGCUUUGUGUGCAUAACCUUACAAAGGGCAGAAUAGCCCCGCUUCGCUGCCAGCCAUGGGAUCAUCCUAUCUUUAUGUGUUGAUUUAUUAGGCCAGGGAUGAAUGAAACCGUAAUUAAUAUUACUGAAGCAUUAGAGUCUAUUUAAUUUAAAUGCCACUGAAUAUUUCACUUUCAGUUGGGAGUGACAAUGUGUUCGGGGCUGUUGGUGAAAGCCUCAGCCAUCUGUUACCCCUACUAAGAAGGGAAGACAAGAGAGACACAGGGAGACAGAGAGCAUUGAGCUUUGUGGCUUUUCCAAGCGUCCGGGAUCAUCAUUCAACUCAAGGGCAGCCAAGGAACAUUCCUGCACACUGGACCCUCCAUGUACAGGGGAAAGGCCUGAGAGGGGCGAGGGAUCCAGAGGUGCGCGGGGAGAGACGGGGAGACAGAGGGAGAAAGACGGAAAGUUACGGUACGUGGAUGCGUACGUAUGCACAAGUGUGGGUAAGUGUGUGUACCGAAAUCAGGUGCCAACCAGGAAACUGGCCAACUUACGGAUGGUCUAAAAAUAAUUUUAAAGGUGGGAGGGGGGAAAGAGUCAGGGCUGGUUUGAAUUUUAUUUUUAAUAAGCCAAAGCAGUGAGGUUCCAGUCCAGCUCCACCCUAGCAAAUACCAUACCAUUUGAUGGCCGUUGCGAUGCUGGAAGCCCGAUACAUUUCAGAUGAGCUGCUGCUGUGACUUGAUCUCCAGCAACCUAAGGCAAAGCGGGAAGAAGAGGCAGCAGCGUAGAAACAGCCUGAGCUCCUGCGAAAUGCCGUGCGGCACCGAGCAGCUGGCCAGCCAGGUGUCACCUCUGCUCCCGCGGGACAGCAGGGACAAGCGGAGGGCACCCGGCGGAGGGGAGAAACACUCCCUUACACGGGGCGAGCGCGGCGCAGGGCUGCGCAGGGAGGAGACGGCAGCCUGGUGGAGGGAAGGAUGGGAGGCUCGGUCUUUCGUGGGAUGAUAAUUAGCACAGUGGGUUUUCUUAUAAUUGGGAUCAUUUGUUCUCCCAGUUUUUCUCCUACAAACUGCUUUCAUGCCAGAGGGAAGCUGUGUGACUCACACCUUGCCAUGCCAAUUAGCUGAUAAACAUCAAAUGUAAACAAAGAUGGCCUAAUUAAGCCUAGUCGCCCAACCUCAACGUGCAUCUUGUCAAAAUUCCUCCAGCCUUUCGCAUCCAGCCUUAUUUUCCUGUUUGCUGGGACUAAAUUAGCGGCUUUGCACAAGAUUUACUUAUCUUUGAGAGGAGCUUAGAGCAGGUAAUGAGGGAAAUUGGGGGAAGACGGAGGAAGGGAGAUCAUCCCCUUCAUCUCGACCGCGCGGGCAGAACAGAGGGCCCUUGUUUCCCAAGGGCAAGCACCACCUUCGAGCCCUGCACCGGUGCCCAGGGCAGGUAUUUUCCGCUGCCAGCUAAUGCUGGGGGCUGAUUUCUGAUCCGGCAGCCACAUCUUGGGGGAUUCACUCAUUUUCUGUUCUUGAGUGCUACUGCCUGUAAAGAAACCUGUAAUGUGUGUCUCCGGCUGCAUUCACCUGUUGUGAAAACUCAUAGAUGGGAGCCCGAGCGGUGGUGGCUUGUACUGCCGUGGGCUGCAUUUGCCCCAGCUCGCAGCUUGGGGAGUUAUUUGCACUUUGGGGAGGAGGUGUAAGACAACACCACAUCAGCGUGGCAGCAUUUCACACCCACUUCACACCAGAGCAAUGGCUCGCACAGGUGGACCAUGGCAGAGAAAUAAGCCCACUCAGGAAAUUUUAUUCCAGGAGUGAUCCUUACAAAACGGGUAGGACCAUUUCAUAGGACUAUGAAAGAAAAGGCCAAGAAGGGACCUCCAGAAGCCAUCUGGACCACCUCACUGCCUCUGGACCACCUCUCUGCUUCUAGACAAGAUCCACCGCAUCGUAGCUGACAGGCCUCUCGUCAUGUUUGCUGCUCACCUCUGAACUCUCUCCAAGAUCCACGUCAUUCUUGAAGGAUGACAUCCAAAACUGAGCACGGCUGCAGGCUGUGUGGAGCCGAAAGCAGUGGAGGAGCCCUCCGAGCCCCUUGGCAGCCCUUGGCCUGCCUGGGUCGCCCUUGCCCCUUCCAGCCCCACGGGAGCCCACGGCGGCAGUCCUGCCUCCCAGAGCAUGCGUGGCUGCUUGCCGCUUCGGGUCAUCUGCAGCUGCAGUAAGGUAAGUACUGUAACUACUACCCGGUAUUGUGGCGGUGCUGCGGCAGCCUGCGCGGGUCUCCCCCACAUCACGUUUCCCUCCCCGGCUCGCGCAGAUGUCGUGUGAGGCACGGCCUCCCCACAGUGGGCGGGAACUGAAGGCAGGGCUGCCUCUGCCACUGCUCUCCGUGCCACACGGCUGUUCCCCUCUCGCAUGGACUGCGUCAAUGCAAUCCGUUCUUGACGAACCCCCAUCAGCUGCUCCUCCUCUCAGCGUUCACAAAUAGUUUGUAUGAGUAUUUGCUCCAUCACUUUCCAGGGAUUCAAAUUACCUUGUCUAAAACCCGCUGCUCCUUCUUCCAGUGUGAAGGCUGGCCUCGGUGGUCCUCUGCAAGCCCUUGGUGGGAACCACUAAUGGCUCUGCAUCCGCUCAGGGCCCCGUCUUCACUCUCCCAGGUAGCCCAGGAACCAACUCCAGCACAAUGAGAGCAAAAGCAAUAAAACACUCUUGGUACUUCCAUACUUCCCACUAAGACUGUAGAAAAUAACUUUGAGACAUCACCUAUUCUGGUGAGUGGGUGUCUCAUUCACACGCAUGUGAAAAAGGGACCUAGUUCUCUGAAAUGGGGUAGCAUGAGUAUUUAUGCAUCAUGUGUGCUAUCUUAUGCCUAUCUUACGCCCAGUUAUGCUGAUGAUGCCAGUGUCUAUGUAAACAACGAGGUUUAGUGAAAGGAAAGAUGAAGAAAUGCAGGAAAGGAAAGCAUAAUAUCAUUACAAAGGACGGCCAGCAAUAGCAGGUGUCAGUUAAGUUUCCACCCUAACCCUCUGCGUGCAGAUCUUCAGGAACAGGCACAGAUCCUCUCGCCAGAGGAACUGCUCUGGGAAGCUGCAGUGAAACAGGCUGGCUUCUUAUAAGAGAGAGGGAAUAGAAAAUACAUCUUUUCGCACAACAAACAAAUAUAAUUCUAAUGUUAUUUAUGUAAAGAGCUUUGCAGCCAAAAUCUCAAAUCUUUGAGAGCUGCCAUCUCACUUGGAAAUUACCCUCUGAACCUUUCAGUGCCCAGUGCUGUUUUACAGUGAAGGCAGCAGGGACGUGUUCCUACCUGGGUGAGGAGCUAGUGAAGAAGCUUCACACCAAACUGCUCUUGUCCUGGUUGGUGCAAACAUGCAAAAAUAAGGCACGGGAAUAUGAUUUGCACUAGAAAUGUAGCUACACCGACAGCACACGUCAGUGUAGGCAUGCUUAUGUCACAGAAGCGUACGCAUGACGCUAGCUUAGCUGUUUUAAUAUAUAAAACAUCAAAUACGUAUUAAGAGAACAAUUUAAUGGCUAGUCAAUAGUCUGUCCACUCCUGGGGAAGACGGUUCACAACAUCAUGUGUAACAAACUCUAAUAGACAGCGUCAGGAGGAAGCGCUUACAUUUCAAGAACUUAGUAUUGUGUAAAAACAUUUAGAAAAGAGCUUACCAGCCAAUCAGCACAGUAAUGUAAUUACGCCAGAUUAUGCAGCAUUUUGUGCAUGUGAGUUUCUCAGCGAGCAGGGCUCAAAACAACAUGCAGCCACAUAACUUUUGAAAUUCCAGUCAGCUCCCGCGCGCUCGCUGCCCACCGGCCUCCAGCUGACUCAUCCUUUUCAGCGGGUUUCUUUUCAGCCCUGUCCCUGGGCUGCACAUCCCGGAGCCAGGCCAGAUUAAUCUGGUACCAGCCAGUGUGGCAAACCAGCAUUUCUCGGUGGUGGGCUCAUCAGUGGCUGUUGAAUUUCAGCUUUCACUAAAAAGGAAAAAAAUGUAUAUAUCAAGCUCUCUAGGAAUGAGCAGAAAACUUGCUGCCUGUGACCCCACAGAGGGCUGCCUCAUUGAAGCUGCAGAGAAAUAGAAAUAAUAGAAAAGCAUGAGUUUACCCGCGCGUUUCUCGGCCCCGGCGGGCAGCCCCUCUGCCGAGAAACCCACCUUCUGCUCCUUUUACUAAAUAUAGGCAAGUCAGACAUGGCCAAAUUCAUCAAAACGUGCAAUCAUAUCCCCCAAAGAGAUUCAUUGUGACGGGAGACCAGAAACCCUGUGAAAAUAAGGGCUCGAUAUUCCCGUACUUGCACACACGAGUAACCUUGGUGACGUAAGCAAUCCCCCGGAUCAGACGUUCGCGGGACGAGACUCCUCAAAUUUCCAGCUAAGCCCAAGUCGCUUGCCAGAAUUUUUCCGCCGUGCACUCGCUCACCCUUGGCUCUCCAGGCUCGGGCCACCUUCGCCACACUGAUGGUAAGUUCCCAUAGCCGAGCUUUUCCACCCUCAGAGAUCAAGUAGAAAAGAAAUGUUAAAAAAAGCUGUAUUGAUUCAGUUAUAAAAAAUGAUCCCCUUUGCAGCACAGUUUACACUAAGCCUCCAAAUCUGACAUCUCUUUGAAAGCCCUCUUAAUAUAUCCAAUUAUAGAUUUUCAGCAACUUUGAGGAAUGUUGGCUUUCCCAGCUACUGACCCUGGAAAACACCAUUGAAAUCAGGAGGGAUUUUGCUAUUGAGCUCAGUGGGGGAGGAUCAGGUCCUACAUAAUUUUAUUGUCAGCAAUGAUGACCUCUCUUCACAAAUGAAGAAUACCCAUCCUGAACCAUGGCCUUCAGAACGUAAACCAUUUAUUUUUAUAGCUGGAUCCUUCCCCAAGUGGGAUAUUUUGUGCAUGGUUAACUUAUCCAGGGCUUUAAAUGCUUGCCAAGUGGCUUUAAUAGCAGGAUGUUGUUUAAAAAGAUUGGGAAGGAUUGUGGGCAGUAAUAGAGAUAAUUGCCAAGGAGAGAUAAAUGAAUCUUCAAUCUCAAACCAACUUGGCUUUAUCAUUGGGUCAGGAGGGAAGAUCCAGAAAAAUCCCCUGUCUCAGAGUAAAUGCGUAAUGAUAGUUUGGGAUUUAGGGAAGUUGGCAGCUGUCUAGAUUCUUUGAUAAAAGCAUCUUUUAAGGCUUAACACAGGUUUGCAAUUCCAUAUAAAGCCAUGAAAACCUCUUUUCACUAAAGGGAUUUAGAAUCACAAAAUAAAAAACGCUGGAGGUGAAAGUCUGGGAGAGGAAUGGGCAGCGGUGACCUCACGAUGGGGUAAUUCUGCAGGCUGCGCAGCGGGGAUCGAUCAGACCGUGCGCCCAGGGGCUGCGCCAGCCCCAGACCCCGGCAGGUGAGAAGCUUUUGGCCAAACACGGAGCAGCACGAAGGGGCCGAGCGCCUCCCGGCCACCCCGCCGUCCCCGUCCCACAGGCCUCGGGGCACUCACAGCUACGUGCUAAAGCACAUUCAGGACAUAUUCAAGCCUAUUUAUUUAUUCAUCCAUUGGGGAGGGGAGGAGGUCGAAAGCCAACUCUUCUAAUGAGAAAUUAUCUUACCUCGUCAUGCAGAACAAGGUACUGCGCGACACAGCGACUUUUCGGGCCAACCUCUUUAAAAAUCAUUUGCCGGAUAAAGUCUGCUGCAAAGCAGAAACAAGGCCUGGCUUCAGGCAGGUUUCCCCUGCCAGGAGUCAUGGGGUUUUGCGGGGGUUUUGGCUUUUCUGCCUCUGUGAAAUCCCCUUUUCACCUCCUUGCUCACAGGAAACACCCCAGCAUCGUGGUGAGCAGCGGUCCGGCCGUUCCCUGCCGUCCGGGCCGUGCCGGGGACCGCUGGGGGAUAAGCAGUGCGUGGGGAAGACUCGCUGGACUUUUAUAAGAAAAAGAACUUACAUUCGCAGCUACGGAAAAUAAUACUGCGGAAAACCGGAAGCAUGGCGCAGGGGAAAGGUGAUUUCCGUCUGUGUGAGCUGAAAGGAAAUUGUGAGCCAUUUUUCCAAAUGCAGUGUUAAAAGAGGCAGAGCAGUAACAGCUCUACUUGCCUAUUCCUGCGGAUCCUACUGAAGUGCUGUCAUGGCUUAUUACCUGUCGAUCUGAGGUUCAAGCCUGGAUGACUUUUAAUUUUUUGAAGCUUAAUGCUGGGAAAACAGAAUUGCUUCAGACUGGCUCAGUUCAGCACUUGGAUAUAUGUGUUUAUGAUAUACAGUAAUAUAUCACACGCAGAUUCAGAACGGGUUUCACUGCUAGACACUUUAAACUGGCAUUAUCUUAUCUGAAAUAAACCUCCUUAAAAGCGUACGAGCAACGUGAGAUAAGGGAAAAGCUCGUCAUCGGAUUUUGGAAGCUCCUGCGGCUUUCGCCGCUUGCCGGGACCGGGAGCCCUGGCCGGCGCUUCGGCCUGACCCCGAGCCGCGCCGGGCGGCUCCGUGGCGAUGGGAAGCUCCUCUCACGCCCGCGAUUUCUGCUGCUGCAAGAGUCUGCAGCUAAUGUCAUAACAAGAAUUAAACUGUCUCAUCAUAUUACUCCCAUCUUAGCUGACUUCGCUGGCUAUUAAGGUGACAGUGCAUUGAUUUAAAAUUUGUGUUAAUUGUUUACCCAUUGUUGGGGUUAUUGUAGUGACCUGCAGCUUUUCUGUAGCUGUGGAUCGUGUUUGCGUUCUGCUUUGCAUUAGCUGCUCUCUGUCUGGCUCUCGCCACGUAACAGCCCCAGCCUUGCCUUGCCUUGGCACUUAGAGUCUUGCUGUGGUCACUUUUAACAAUAAACAAGUGGCGAGGGUAUAGCUGCAUUUGAUUGUUGUGCUGGAGCGUUACCAGCGCUUUCGGAGGCUUUUCUUCCUUUCUGAUUUUUUUAUUUGCAUCUACUGCCUUCAGAUUUUUAGUUACUAAUAGCAGGGGUGCUGUAUAAUAUAAACAAAUGCACUGGCCGUGCCUGCAACACCUUCCCUUUACCGCUUCGACAGCGCGAGUGGCGUUCGCUCCCACCACAACAUAGACGCUGCGGCCCAUCGCUCUUCGGGUUUCACUUCUGUGGUGGAUAAAUCAAUCCCUGCAUAAGCCCACAGUAACAAACUUUUCACCCAAAAUUGAGAAUGAAAAUUGCUUUAUGCCGUCUGCUGUCUCUCUGGCACAAAAUGAGCGUCACCUCAACAGGAAUUUGGCAUGCUCAGUGAUUGCAGGACUGCUAUUAGGAGAUAUUUUAAUUUUUUCCUGAUCUAGCUCUCCAAAUCCAUGAACAAUGUAUUUCUCCACAGAUAUUUGAAAAAAUCCUUUAUUGUCUCUGAGACUGCAAGUUUUUUUCAUCCCCCCACCCCCCCCACUAAGGGUUGCAACAUUUCUAACCUGGUCGCCAUUCCCACUUUGUUGUUCUUUCUUUUACUGUGGCAAUUGUUAGAACAGGAACCUGAAAGAUAGUGGUUUGUCUUAAUGAAAAAAAUCUUCAGGUUUAAAGGAAAAAAAUCCUAAGUAAUAAAUACUUAUCUGUGAGUCUGAGACCCCAUUGGAGUCAAUGACAGUUUUGGUCCCUGAUAUCAGGGACUUCAGGUCCGACCUCAGAACAUGGCCCAACCUAAUGCAUUUAUUUCUAAAAUGUCCCUCACCGGACGACCCCUGCAGAUGGGCUAAUCCCCCGCCCCAUCUUCCACGAGGAGGCUUUUUUUAUUUGCUUUUUGCUGAAAAAUGAACUUGUUCAUGAGCUGAAACUAGAUUUUAAUAUUCUCCAAAGGCCAGUACAUUUUACACAGUUUAUAGCUCAUAAACAUGCUUGCAAUUUUCAAAAAUAUUACUGAUUAUUUGCAUUCCCACUGUUUAUACCUGGGGAAAAGGGAAGUCUCCCAACUGCCAUUAGAGAGCAUUUCAUUAGAAAAAACAUUCACUAUUUAUAUUUUGAGCAGAAAUGUGCCACUCACUUUUAUGAAUAAAGCAUAUGCUUUUCCAGUCCAUUUAUGGCUGUUCUCAGCACACAAGCGGCCUCUGCUAACUUAUGCACCCAAGCGUCACGGAGCCGCAAAAACGGAGAGGAAUUUGCAGUAAAAGCUCCCGCGACAGGUCCCGCUUCCGCACGGCGGCGAGGGCCCCUUCGCCUGCGCUCCUUAGUAGCACUGCCAGUAAGUCCACGUUUAACACGAACUUUCCUGCCUUUGCAAAGCCCUGCUUGCUGCGUGAUAGCCGUGUUUUGAAAGCCUUCACGUGCCUUUCGCUUUAUUUGUGUUUGGACGAAUUUCUCUCCCUUUCAUGCUCCUUGCUGCUCCCGUGUCUCUGGCCAGGCUGUCCCGAGGAGAGCUGUGAUUUUCUGUGGACACCGGCCAGCAAGCAGUAUCGACACCUCCCGCUGCCGCUGCCUUUCGCGCGGGAAAAAGAAAGUGUAAGGAAACCCCCCCGCAGCGCAGGGACAUUGCUGGUGUAAGGUAAACCAGCCCCUUCCCAAAUUCCCGCAGUGCCGACCCUGUUGCUUUCCAGGAGCCCUGCGACGCUUGCUGCUGUGGCAGGGCUGGCGCCCCGUGUCGUGCUGUCCGGGAAGGGUUUUAUUUCAGAAAUAACAUUUCUCAUCCUUCUGACUGGGGAGAAAGCCUCAAAAAGUAUGAGGCAGAAGGAACCCCUAAAUGUGCUAUGUUUUACAGCCUUUUCAUUUUAAACUAGUGAUGAUUUUAAGAGAGGCCACUGCCUGAUCAUUUCUGAACGCGCAGUAACUGCAUAUUAAGCCUAUCUCGGUUUGAUGUAUGUCUAAAUGCCUUAGUCUGAGGUUAGGUGCUGGUGUCCUUUCCUCUUUUGCAGACUGUCAUCUGCUCUGCGGGUCACAUAUUUCAUAUUAAUUAGUCUCUGGAGACCUGGAUUCUAAAAUAAAUGUGUUUUUAGGGUUUUAAAUAGCCCUACUCGCGCAGAAAGGCCGUCGUGCCCUGCGAGCGCCCGCCCACAGCAGCGGGGUCUGCGCAGGCUUUGUGGGUAGCCACGGCCUCGGGGGCCCCCAUGGGACAGGACGGGAU
This is a long non-coding RNA of Dromaius novaehollandiae (emu), 26495 nucleotides long. RefSeq lists it as uncharacterized. The transcript has 11 exons. The record is from RefSeq and is a predicted model, not a curated record. Lineage: Eukaryota; Metazoa; Chordata; Aves; Casuariiformes; Dromaiidae.